RNAcentral lists this long non-coding RNA (255 nucleotides) under Erythranthe guttata (spotted monkey flower). RNAcentral's name for it is "long non-coding RNA (EGUT_LNC001469)". Lineage: Eukaryota; Viridiplantae; Streptophyta; Magnoliopsida; Lamiales; Phrymaceae. The record is from RNAcentral.
ACAGUUUCCGAUGCACCACAAACUGAUAUAUAUAAGCUAAAAAUCACAUAUUAUGAUCAUCUUGCUUCAUAAUGUAGAGUUUGAAUGGGAUAAAACGGGUACAAAAGUGAUAAUAUUCCAUAUAAUCUCGAAGAUUCCACUAAAUUUGAGGAGUUGAGGGGGUGGUUGUAAUUACCCAAACAAGAGGGGUGUUUUUGUAAUUUGAUCAUACCUCAGGGGGUGUUUGUAAUUUACCCUAUAUAUAUAUAUAUAUAU